ACCUCUCGUUCUCUCCCCAACUGAGUGUUCUUUUCCUCCUCCCUGCCUUUUUCAUUCCUGCAGCUGUGUGAUUAAUUGGGGGAGAGUGAAAUUAGGGUUUGUCCGUCUUCACUCAAUCAAAGGUAAUCAACUCUCGUUUUGAUUAAUUGUGAUUCUUAAACUUGAUUAUAUGCAUAAGUGUCUGUAUACUUGUGUAUGUAUGUAUUUGUGUGGCUGUUCGUUUCGACUGGAGAUGAUGACAACACUGUUGGUGGAGGGCCGUGGUGGUGAUGUGGUGGUGUAUAUAUAGCUGUGUGUUAUGUUCUUAAAAUGGGUUUUUUUGUGUAAUUUGAGUUGUGGUGUUAGAAUUGAGGCAAUUGUUGUCAAGCUUCGCAGCGGUAAUGUCCUGUUUUGUAGCUUUGUUCUAGGACUAUUAAGUUCAAUUACUAUGCUUAAUUUCCCUGUGAUUAUAUGCUCCUUGAAGUCUAGAUUAAGUGCGAAAAAGAAUUUCAAAGUUUCGUUAAAUGAGCUAAAAGUUAUGAAUUAAUUAGUGACUCUAUGUCUAGAUGACAAAAUUCUGCUAUGUGACAUAUGUGUGCACUGCCCUAUUUUGACAUGUGUAUUUCAAACUGAUAUAAGAUUAAUUGGUGAAUGGAUUGAUUUAUAUUGAUGUCUCUUAAGGUAUAAAAUCAGUACCAAAAGGAUUUAGGUUGAUUGGAUUAAUAAGAUUAAAGUUAUGUUAGAUUUUUAAGAGAUAUGCUACAUGAUUAGAUGCUGAGUAAUAUGUUAUGAUUUUGAUGUGUCUUGUAUGCAAAGUCUGUACAACAUAGAAUAGAAUUAAAAUACUGAACCUCUGAGACUAUAUGCUAUGUGGAAUCAAGGAUCUAUGCCAAGUGGAAUUAAUCAAUUUGGAUUAGUAAAUAUUAAGAUAUGAAUUUUUAUGUGUACGGUGUUAUUAGAGCCCUGCUGUGAUGCUUUCUCUGCACCAUGUUGAACUUCCAAAAUUUAUACUAAAUUAAUUAUGUGUUGGAACUUGUUUGUUUGACCUCUGUAACUUAGCUAUUCGAGUUCUAUAUGAUUUCUAUUCUCUGAGUUCCUUGAUUUGGUGCUUGCUUCUAUUUUAUGGAAAUUGAUUAAGUCAAGUAUGUCAAAACUAUACUACACUGCCCUGUUUUACUAAAUGAUGCAUUGUGUAAAUCUUAUAAAUGAUUAAAUGGUGAAUCUUUUUGUGUUGAUUAGAUAAUUUCAAGUAUGUCAUUUCCUGUUUGUAUUGUCUAGGAAAAUUAUGUAAUCUAAUGUGCUAUAAGUUGGCAAAAUUGAGAGGGCAGUUGCUGAUUUGUAUUAAGAAGUAUGAUUUGCCGUUUCAUUACUUAAUCACUUUUUGCAUACUAUAUAUGGUUAGAAAGAUCUUGGAAUGCUCUAUCUUUUUUUGUUUAAUGUAUCUAUAAAUGAGAUUUCCGAAUGCUAGUAAAAUGCAAAUCUCUUGGUGUCUGUCCAGCAGUUUAUGGGCUUUAUGAAUUGUCGAGUUAGAAUUAUAUGUAUUGUUCUAUGACUUGCAUCUAGACUUAAAGUUGAAUCAUUGUUUGGCUGAGAUAUGUGAGUUAUUGAUGUGUGAUUGUGUUUUAAUUGAUAAUUGGUUCGGUACUUGUUGGUUUAUUGAGUUGGAUUGGGUUGGUUAUUUGUUGAGUUGUAUAGGGAGUUAGAAAACUGUUUUGUUAAUAACUUUUGAUCCGUAAUUCAGAAUCGAGUGAAACGAAAAAGAGGUUAAAGCUUAGAAACUCUAGUUUAAUAUAAUGUAACAAUAUGAUUGAGUUUCCAAUGUGUAUAAAGAUUGUUGAAAAUGCAUAAUGUGACUAUACGUGAUCUAUUUGCUAUAUAGUGAUGAUUAUAUCAAAUACGUAUCCAUUUGAUUUGAUAAACGAUUUGGGAGACAUAGCAUCUUGUCUUGAUUAAUGUUGAAUAAGAAUAUGUAGAUUACAGGAAUUUGAGUUGAUUGAUUGGUUGUUGGUUGAAAUAGGCUGACAGAUGGAUAGUCCUAUAAAUAGACAAGACGCUGUCAGAUUUUCAAUAGGAUUUAUAUGGUUAUUGAGUUGUAGUAUGCUACAUGGAGUAUGAUGUGACUAUAUGAUAAAGUCAAAGCAUGAUUAUAUGUUAAGUGAUACCUGAUAAGUGCAUAGAGAUUAUAUAGGGUGAUAUGUGAUUAUGUGUUAAAUGCUAUCGAUAUAAGUGAUAUGUAUAUGCGAUAGGUUAUGAUACCGAGUUUGAUAAGUAAGAUAAGAAUUAAUAGAUUAUUUAGUAAUUAUGGUAGUAUUUUAUUCUCGUAAAGGAUUUGGACGAGGCGUAUACGACCGAAGACGUUCAGAAAGUCAAACGGUGUUCCAAAGCGAAUGAGGAACGAAUCGAGUAAGUGAAGCAGUGUGGCGAAUAAAGUAUAGCCAGAGAUGGUCUAGAUACUAUGAUAUGCAUAGGUUGUGAGUUGGAAAGAUGAGAUUAAGCUGUGUGUGGAAGCGGAUUUAAGGCAAGUUUUCCUAAAUACUUCCUCACAUAUAUAUAUUGCAUGUUCUGAUUAUUCUGUCCAGACUAUGUUAUUGCUUAUACUGAAACCCUUCUCAAAUAAACUCUUAUUUCUGAGAAUGAAACCCAUGAUUGUUUUCAACUUUCAAGUCUUUGAAAAGCCAAACACCCAAAUACUCUCAAUUUCUAUUACAAGUAUUCUGAUCCAUUCUUUCCAAUCCUCAAGAUUUUAAAAAUAUCAGCUUUACAAAUUAAUUCGAAGUUCAGACCGUCAUUGAAGCAUGGGUUGCUCAGUGAUAGUUAGAACCUAGAAUGAAUUGGGAUCUUCUUGAUUAUUCAACCCGCCAUUGUCAUGCUGGUUUAGCAGGCUAAAUUCAGUUGCUUAGCCGAUAAUGGAGGAUACUGAAUAGUUAGGAAUUUCCUGAACUAUGAUUUAUUAAAAGACAGACUGUGGUUUAUGAAAUGUUGAUCCUCAAAAGUUGGUUUGGAAUAUUUCUGUUAUUGAUAAUGAUUAUGAUUCUGUUCUGUUGAUUGAAUUGUCUAUUGAUUUAAAUUGUUAGAAUUGGAUUAGUUUUUAUAAAAUAUGUGGACCAGAUUCGUGGUCAGACCAGAUUCGUGGUCAAUUAUAGGCCAAUGUGUGCCUUGGAUCCAGUAUAGAGAACAGGGCUGUGUGCCAUGUUCGGGGUUAGUGCGUGACUGAUCAGCAGCCUAACCUUUGGUUUUUAAGUAAAAAUGUGAUGAAUCCAAUUCGACAAUUCUUCUGUAAGUUUGAAAUUCUGAUUUCAAUUGCUGAUAAGAAUUGUGAAGUUUUCAAUUGCAUAUCCUGAACUUGUGAACCCUGAUAAAAUAUUUCAGGACUAUUGUUGCUUAUAUACACUUGUUGAGCAUUGUAGCUCACCCUUGCUAUUCUUUUUUUUUUACCAUUUCAGAAAAGCUUAGAGAUGAAUUGCUUGAUUGAGAUUGCGAGUAUGGCUAAGGCUAAGCGAGGAGUCAGAGUUAUAGAAUAUCCAGAGGACAAGUGGAAUGUCCAGGGAGAUUGUCAAGGUUGGUUCUAGAUAGAAUUGUAUUGAUGAGAUUCAGUUGUAAGUCAUAAUUGGAAUAGAUUGACAGUGAUUCUUCUUAUCGAAGAUGAUCUGAGAUUGUAAGAUAUUGUUUAUUGAUAGUGGUUGAUUCUGAUUUCAAUACUGUAACCUGGAUGCGAUCCUGUUUUUAGGGGGUUAAAGUGUUUUCUUUUAAAUCUUUUAUUAAAGUCUUCAAGUUUUAAAUGCUUUGAUUUUUAUUUUCUCCUCAAAAAUACAGGUUUUCAAAAGUGUUUAAAAAUGGGUUUUGUGUGGUGACGUCAGAAUCCAGACCCCCGGAUUCUCGGGCUGUCACAGUUGGUAUCAGAGCAACAGGUUAUAAGUUAUUGAAAUUAGAAUAUAGAUUGUGGUUAUAAGUUUUAUAGAGAAAAAGUGUUCAGUGACCUCAUAUAGAGGUAUUGUGAGACUGUCUGGGGAUAGUCUAGAGAGGUAAUCGGAAUAGAAUCUAGAUAGUUAAUUAAGUUGAGGGUACAUGUUUAGAUAGAUCAUGGUUCCUAAGUCUAGAUACUUGGUUUCUAGUAUGGGGACUGAUUGAGAUAGUGAAUUGUGAUAAGGGUCAGAGUCGGACCUAGUCAAAAGAGUAUUAAUAAUGAAUGAUUAAGUUAAGAAUGAUAAAGAUGCAUGGUUUGGAGUAUUCUGACCAUGUUACAUAUUUGAAAGUGGUUUAUCGUUUGAAUUGAAAUGUAGAAGAAUGGAUGUUGAAUAUGAGAUAUUGUGAAUUAGAAAGAGAAUUUUGUAGAUAGAUGUGAUGUGAAUGAUAGAGAGUAGGUGGAAUUGAGUCUAGUUAUCAGAAGUAAUAUUGUGAGUGAGAUAGAACGUUAGUCUUAACGACGACGCUUCAAGCUAACCGGCAUUUCAUCUGCUAUCAAGAUGAACCUGCUUCAUUGCGAAUGAUAAUGUCUACAAGGAAAUCUUACGAGGCUAUCACGAGUUAAUGAUGAUCGAUUAUCGAGAACGUCGAGAAGAGGACAUACAUUGAACAACGAUUUAUGGAAGUAGAGCAGGAAUUUGAGAAGACCUUGGCAAUAUCUUUCUUCAACAAAAGCUUAUCUUAAUUCUUUUCAUCAUCAUUAAGUCCUUAUUAGGAUACCUUUUCUACAAAAAGUUUUGAUAAAUGAGAUAUUCUAUUUCUCGAAUGACGAGAAAACAUUGGUAUUGAUUAUUGAUAUUGGUAUUGAUUCUUGGUGUGUGAUAAAGGUAGAGCAGGAAUUUGAGAAGACCUUGGCAAUAUCUUUCUUCAACAAAAGCUUAUCUUAAUUCUUUUCAUCAUCAUUAAGUCCUUAUUAGGAUACCUUUUCUACAAAAAGUUUUGAUAAAUGAGAUAUUCUAUUUCUCGAAUGACGAGAAAACAUUGGUAUUGAUUAUUGAUAUUGGUAUUGAUUCUUGGUGUGUGAUAAAAGUUAUUGUGAGAAGACAAUGAUAUUUCUUGAUAUUUCUUGAGAUUCUUUGAUAUAUAUCUUGAUUCUCUUGAUAUUCUUUGGUAUUCUUUGAUAUUCCUUGGUAUUACUUCCAUCUGAUUGGGAUGAACAACCCUAUGUAUAGGGGACACAAGGUAUACCUGUCUGUGUGAUAGGAGUUGGAUGGGACGCCAUCACUUGUGUGUGUUGUACUUACAAGAAGGUUAACAACCUUUAGUAGUGUCUAAUAUGGGCACGCAACACUAAGUUCGUUUGAUCAUAUUGAUCUCUCAGUCACUCUCUUAUUUAAACAUGACCUAUUUUGCAAACAUCUUGUUCACAUUCUAAAUCUCAAGGAUUGAUUCUUGGGAAAUGAAUUCUGCAAUUGUGAAAGAUUGAUUCUCCUAUUUCUUUAAAGUUAAAGGUAUGCCAAGGUCAUUUAAAGGUGGGGAAUGAUAUUACGAAGUUUUAGUUCUCUUCGCGGAUUCUGAGGACAGAAUCCUUAUAAGGAGGGUAGAAUGUAACAUCCCAGAUUUUCAGAAUUAGUUUAUUAAUUUAGAAAUAAAUUUUUGAAUAUUAUUAUUGGUUUUAGUUGAUUUUUUUCUGAUGAGAUGAAUGAUCUGUGUAGUAUGAGUAUAAUUUUGAUGUGGAAUUAUAAGGUUUAAACAGAUUAUGCAUUCUUCUUCUGUGAUUUCGUAUAUUUUCACGACCCGGAUUUUUCAAAAAUUGUUUAUUGUUAUGAAAGUUAUUUUCUUAGAAAGGAGGAAUAAAAUUUAAUAUUUUAUUCCAGUUUGAUAAUUUUCAAAAAUAUUUGUAUAAAUUAUUUUCCUUGUCAUCGGGGUUAGGGGAAAAUAUCUGUUCAUCGUGCAGUUAUCUGUUACGAGAUUUAAUUGAUUUAUUUGUGUACGAUUAUGUCUGUGUGCAUUUAUUUCUGCUUUUGAUAUUAUUAUAUUACUUUAUUAAAAUUUAUUAUCUUCUUAAAUGGAUAUUAUUUUUGUAAAAAUACAAAGAUAAUUUGAAAACUUAUUUUAAUUGCUUGAUGGUGAUCAUAAAUAUUUUUAGGAGUUUAUAAAAUAUUAAGAAUCUUAUGUCUAUAUGGUCGGAUUUUUAAUUAGUUUCUGAAGCAUCUAACCUCUAAAUUUUGUAUAAGUUUCGAAAAUGCUCUGUAAAUCCCGAAACUUUUAUUUAAUUAGUUUUAUAAUAUUCAUGGAUUUGUAAAAUUAUUUUGGUGAUUUUUCGGGAAUGUUUUAUUAUGAAUAGUAUCUGUAAAUAAGCUAAUUGCGGGUAUUAGCCAGGGAUUGUUCUACAAAAAAUAGGACACGCAGCAGCAUGAGAGUGUGACACGUACCCCUAUAUUCCACCGCCUGUACUCCCUUUCUUCUUUCCUUUUCUUAAUGUCAUCACUUUUGAAACCUCAAGUCUCGGUCUCUCCUACCUCUCGUUCUCUCCCCAACUGAGUGUUCUUUUCCUCCUCCCUGCCUUUUUCAUUCCUGCAGCUGUGUGAUUAAUUGGGGGAGAGUGAAAUUAGGGUUUGUCCGUCUUCACUCAAUCAAAGGUAAUCAACUCUCGUUUUGAUUAAUUGUGAUUCUUAAACUUGAUUAUAUGCAUAAGUGUCUGUAUACUUGUGUAUGUAUGUAUUUGUGUGGCUGUUCGUUUCGACUGGAGAUGAUGACAACACUGUUGGUGGAGGGCCGUGGUGGUGAUGUGGUGGUGUAUAUAUAGCUGUGUGUUAUGUUCUUAAAAUGGGUUUUUUUGUGUAAUUUGAGUUGUGGUGUUAGAAUUGAGGCAAUUGUUGUCAAGCUUCGCAGCGGUAAUGUCCUGUUUUGUAGCUUUGUUCUAGGACUAUUAAGUUCAAUUACUAUGCUUAAUUUCCCUGUGAUUAUAUGCUCCUUGAAGUCUAGAUUAAGUGCGAAAAAGAAUUUCAAAGUUUCGUUAAAUGAGCUAAAAGUUAUGAAUUAAUUAGUGACUCUAUGUCUAGAUGACAAAAUUCUGCUAUGUGACAUAUGUGUGCACUGCCCUAUUUUGACAUGUGUAUUUCAAACUGAUAUAAGAUUAAUUGGUGAAUGGAUUGAUUUAUAUUGAUGUCUCUUAAGGUAUAAAAUCAGUACCAAAAGGAUUUAGGUUGAUUGGAUUAAUAAGAUUAAAGUUAUGUUAGAUUUUUAAGAGAUAUGCUACAUGAUUAGAUGCUGAGUAAUAUGUUAUGAUUUUGAUGUGUCUUGUAUGCAAAGUCUGUACAACAUAGAAUAGAAUUAAAAUACUGAACCUCUGAGACUAUAUGCUAUGUGGAAUCAAGGAUCUAUGCCAAGUGGAAUUAAUCAAUUUGGAUUAGUAAAUAUUAAGAUAUGAAUUUUUAUGUGUACGGUGUUAUUAGAGCCCUGCUGUGAUGCUUUCUCUGCACCAUGUUGAACUUCCAAAAUUUAUACUAAAUUAAUUAUGUGUUGGAACUUGUUUGUUUGACCUCUGUAACUUAGCUAUUCGAGUUCUAUAUGAUUUCUAUUCUCUGAGUUCCUUGAUUUGGUGCUUAUAAAAUGAAUUUCUAAAAAUACAAAAAUGAUUUGAAAAAUUCUUUCAAUUACUUGAAAAUUAUAAUGAAUAUUUUUAGGAGUUUUUAAAAUAUUAAAUAUAUUAUUUUUGUAAAAGUUUGAUGUUUAAAUAUUUUCUGAACGCAAUUAAUUUCUAAAUUGCGUAUAAAUUUCAUAAGUACUCGAUAAAUCUCAAAACUUUUAUUUCAUUGGUCUUAUAACAUUCCGGGAUUUAUAAAAAUAUUUCGGUAGCUGUCGGAAGAAAUUUUACUGCAAGUUUUUCCCUGAAUUAGUUGAUAUCGGGUAUUUAGGAUUGAAUAUCAGAUUAAAAGGAGGUGUGACAUGUGUCCCAAUAUUCCACCGCCUAUACUCCCUUUCUUCUUUCCUUUUCUAUAUUUCAUCACUUUUAAAACAUCAAGUCUCAGUCUCUCGCAUCUCUCGUUGUUGAGCCUCAACUAGUGUUCUCUUCCUCCUCUCUGCCUUUUCAAUCUUGCAACCGUGUGAUUAAUUAGGAGAGAGUGAAAUUAGGGUUUGGGAUUUUUCAACCAAUCAAAGGUAAUCAUCUCUCGUUUCGAUUAAUUGCGAUUCUUAAACUUGAUUAUAUGCAUAAGUGUGUGUAUACUUGUGUAUGUAUGUAUCUGUGUGGCUGUUCGCUUUAACUGGAGAUGAUGACAACAUUGUUGGUGGUUUGGUGGUGGAGCUGUGGUGUUGAUGUGGUGGUGUAUAUAUAGCUGUGUACAUGUUCUUAGAAUGGGUUUUGUGUAAUUUGAGAUGUGGUAUUAGAAUUGAGUCAAUUGUUGUCAAGCUUCGCAGCGGUAAUGUCCUGUUUUGUAGCUUUGUUCUAGGACUGUUAAGUUCGAUUACUAUGCUUAAUUUUCCUGCGAUUAUAUGCUCCUUGAAGUCUAGAUUAAGUGCGAAAAAGAAUUUCAAAGUUUCGUUAAAUGAGCUAAAAGUUAUGAAUGAAUUAGUGACUCUUUGUCUAGAUGAGAAAAUUCUGCUAUGUGACAUAUGUGUGCAUUGCCCUGUUUUGACAUGUGUACUCCAAACUGACAUAAGAUUAAUUGGUAAAUUGAUUAACUUAUAAUGAUGUUUCUUAAGGUAUAAAAUCAGUACCAAGAGGAAUUAGGUUGAUUGGAUUAAUAAGAUUAAAGUUAUGUUAGAUUUUUUUUAAGAGAUAUACUACAUGAUUAGAUGCUGAGUAAUAUGUUAUGAUUUUGAAGUGUCUUGUAUGCAAAGUCUGUAUAACAUAGAAUAGAAUUAAAAUACCAAACCUCUGAGACUAUAUGCUAUGUGGAAUCAAGGAUCUAUGCCAAGUGGAAUUAAUCAAUUUGGAUUAGUACAUAUUAAGAUAAGAAUUUUUAUGUAUCCGGUGUUAUUAGAGCCCUGCUGUGAUGCUUUCUCUGCACCAUGUUGAACUUUCAAAAUUUAUACUAAAUUAAUUAUGUGUUGGAACUUGUUUGUUUGACCUCUGUAACUUGGCUAUGUGAGUUCUCUAUGAUUUCUAUUCUUUGAGUUUCUUGAUUUGGUGCUUGCUUCUAUUUUAUGAAAAUUGAUCAAGUCAAGUAUGUCAAAACCAUACUACACUGUCCUGUUUUGCUAAAUGAUGCAUUAUGUACUAACUAUAACUGAUUAAAUGGCGAGUCUUUUUGUGUUGAUCAGAUAAUUUCAAGUAUGACGUCUCCUGUUUGUAUUGUCUUGGAAAAUUAUGUAAUCUAGUGUUCUAUAAGUUAGCAAAAUUGAGAGGGUUGUUGCUGAUUUGUAUUAAGAAGUCAACUUAAUUAAUGAUUUCCUGUUUUAUUACUUGAUCACUUUUUGCAUACUAUAUAUGGUUAGAAAGAUCUUGGAAUGCUCUAUCUUUUUUUGUUUAAUGUAUCUAUAAAUGAGAUUUCCGAAUGCUAGUAAAAUGCAAAUCUCUUGGUGUCUGUCCAGCAGUUUAUGGGCUUUAUGAAUUGUCGAGUUAGAAUUAUAUGUAUUGUUCUAUGACUUGCAUCUAGACUUAAAGUUGAAUCAUUGUUUGGCUGAGAUAUGUGAGUUAUUGAUGUGUGAUUGUGUUUUAAUUGAUAAUUGGUUCGGUACUUGUUGGUUUAUUGAGUUGGAUUGGGUUGGUUAUUUGUUGAGUUGUAUAGGGAGUUAGAAAACUGUUUUGUUAAUAACUUUUGAUACGUAAUUCAGAAUCGAGUGAAACGAAAAAGAGGUUAAAGCUUAGAAACUCUAGUUUAAUAUAAUGUAACAAUAUGAUUGAGUUUCCAAUGUGUAUAAAGAUUGUUGAAAAUGCAUAAUGUGACUAUACGUGAUCUAUUUGCUAUAUAGUGAUGAUUAUAUCAAAUACGUAUCCAUUUGAUUUGAUAAACGAUUUGGGAGACAUAGCAUCUUGUCUUGAUUAAUGUUGAAUAAGAAUAUGUAGAUUACAGGAAUUUGAGUUGAUUGAUUGGUCGUUGGUUGAAAUAGGCUGACAGAUGGAUAGUCCUAUAAAUAGACAAGACGCUGUCAGAUUUUCAAUAGGAUUUAUAUGGUUAUUGAGUUGUAGUAUGCUACAUGGAGUAUGAUGUGACUAUAUGAUAAAGUCAAAGCAUGAUUAUAUGUUAAGUGAUACCUGAUAAGUGCAUAGAGAUUAUAUAGGGUGAUAUGUGAUUAUGUGUUAAAUGCUAUCGAUAUAAGUGAUAUGUAUAUGCGAUAGGUUAUGAUACCGAGUUUGAUAAGUAAGAUAAGAAUUAAUAGAUUAUUUAGUAAUUAUGGUAGUAUUUUAUUCUCGUAAAGGAUUUGGACGAGGCGUAUACGACCGAAGACGUUCAGAAAGUCAAACGGUGUUCCAAAGCGAAUGAGGAACGAAUCGAGUAAGUGAAGCAGUGUGGCGAAUAAAGUAUAGCCAGAGAUGGUCUAGAUACUAUGAUAUGCAUAGGUUGUGAGUUGGAAAGAUGAGAUUAAGCUGUGUGUGGAAGCGGAUUUAAGGCAAGUUUUCCUAAAUACUUCCUCACAUAUAUAUAUUGCAUGUUCUGAUUAUUCUGUCCAGACUAUGUUAUUGCUUAUACUGAAACCCUUCUCAAAUAAACUCUUAUUUCUGAGAAUGAAACCCAUGAUUGUUUUCAACUUUCAAGUCUUUGAAAAGCCAAACACCCAAAUACUCUCACUUUCUAUUACAAGUAUUCUGAUCCAUUCUUUCCAAUCCUCAAGAUUUUAAAAAUAUCAGCUUUACAAAUUAAUUCGAAGUUCAGACCGUCAUUGAAGCAUGGGUUGCUCAGUGAUAGUUAGAACCUAGAAUGAGUUGGGAUCUUCUUGAUUAUUCAACCCGCCAUUGUCAUGCUGGUUUAGCAGGCUAAAUUCAGUUGCUUAGCCGAUAAUGGAGGAUACUGAAUAGUUAGGAAUUUCCUGAACUAUGAUUUAUCAAAAGACAGACUGUGGUUUAUGAAAUGUUGAUUCUCAAAAGUUGGUUUGGAAUAUUUCUGUUGUUGAUAAUGAUUAUGAUUCUGUUCUGUUGAUUAAAUUGUCUAUUGAUUUAAAUUGUUAGAAUUGGAUUAGUUUUUAUAAAAUAUGUGGACCAGAUUCGUGGUCAGACCAGAUUCGUGGUCAAUUAUAGGCCAAUGUGUGCCUUGGAUCCAGUAUAGAGAACAGGGCUGUGUGCCAUGUUCGGGGUUAGUGCGUGACUGAUCAGCAGCCUAACCUUUGGUUUUUAAGUAAAAAUGUGAUGAAUCCAAUUCGACAAUUCUUCUGUAAGUUUGAAUUCUGAUUUCAAUUGCUGAUAAGAAUUGUGAAGUUUUCAAUUACAUAUCCUGAACUUGUGAACCCUGAUAAGAUAUUUCAGGACUAUUGUUGCUUAUAUACACUUGCUGAGCAUUGUUGCUCACCCUUGCUAUUCCUUUUUAACCAUUUCAGAAAAGCUUAGAGAUGAAUUGCUUGAUUGAGAUUGCGAGUAUGGCUAAGGCUAAGCGAGGAGUCAGAGUUAUAGAAUAUCCAGAGGACAAGUGGAAUGUCCAGGGAGAUUGUCAAGGUUGGUUCUAGAUAGAAUUGUAUUGAUGAGAUUCAGUUGUAAGUCAUAAUUGAAAUAGAUUGACAGUGAUUCUUCUUAUCGAAGAUGAUCUGAGAUUGUAAGACAUUGUUUAUUGAUAGUGGUUGAUUCUAAUUUCAAUACUGUAACCUGGAUGCGAUCCUGUUUUUAGGGGGUUAAAGUGUUUUCUUUUAAAUCUUUUAUUAAAGUCUUCAAGUUUUAAAUGCUUUGAUUUUUAUUUUCUCCUCAAAAAUACAGGUUUUCAAAAGUGUUUAAAAAUGGGUUUUGUGUGGUGACGUCAGAAUCCAGACCCCCGGAUUCUCGGGCUGUCACAGUUAGUCUUGGGGGAGAAUCGCCUAAGCAAUCAUUUCAGGAAAAUGCCAUUUUUCUUCAAAAAUCAUGAAACAACCAACAUUAAUUUGUGUGGCUUGAUAAAGUUGGUAAAACUUGCAAACCGCAACUACACCGUGUCAAACGAAAAUCGCAUAAAACACAUCACAAGAACGCAGUGCGAUAUGAUGCGGGUUGUGUGAUUUAUACAUUUAAAAAAUAAAUACUUUUCGAUGAACAUAUAAAUAUAAUUUUAAAUUAUAUAUAAAUCAAUUAUAAUAAAAUUAUGUAAAUAUUUACAAUUUAGAGCUACAAGAUUAGUAAAAAGAUAUAAACUAAAAUAUAAGUAUGCUAAUAAUGAAGAUAAAAAGAUAUCGAUACAAAAAAAUUAAUUUUAUAGAAACAAACAUAAUUGUAAUGUAUAGUUAGUAACAUUAGAAUUACUCUUAAUUUAUAAUGUAAAAAUUUAUUAAAAAUUAGUAAAAAAUAUUAGAAUCCUGAACAUAUUAUUAGUAAUAAGGGGAAGAUGAGGAUGAGGUCAAGUCAUCAUAUCUUUUGUGUCCGGGGAAACACAAGUGCUACAAUGUCCUGGAUAAAGGAUCGCAAUCCUAUGAGAUUGAGCUAACGCCAAAAAUCCGUUUCCAGUUCGGACUGCACUCCAAGCUUGCAACUUACCUGCAUGAAGUCAGAACUGCCAGUAAUCGUCGGUCAACCAUAGAUCAAUAAAUUCAUUUCUACUGUCACUCUAUGAGAGCUGAUCAUAUCUGAAGUCAUUAAG
This 12581-nucleotide long non-coding RNA is filed under the name Daucus carota (carrot). RNAcentral's name for it is "long non-coding RNA (DCAR_LNC002447)". Lineage: Eukaryota; Viridiplantae; Streptophyta; Magnoliopsida; Apiales; Apiaceae. The record is from RNAcentral.